Molecule: ribosomal RNA, 566 nt
Filed under: Penicillium lanosum
Lineage: Eukaryota; Fungi; Ascomycota; Eurotiomycetes; Eurotiales; Aspergillaceae
Description: eukaryotic LSU rRNA
Rfam family: 5.8S ribosomal RNA (bases 187-339)
Source: RNAcentral
AGGAUCAUUACCGAGUGAGGGCCCUCUGGGUCCAACCUCCCACCCGUGUUUAUUUUACCUUGUUGCUUCGGCGGGCCCGCCUUAACUGGCCGCCGGGGGGCUCACGCCCCCGGGCCCGCGCCCGCCGAAGACACCCUCGAACUCUGUCUGAAGAUUGUAGUCUGAGUGAAAAUAUAAAUUAUUUAAAACUUUCAACAACGGAUCUCUUGGUUCCGGCAUCGAUGAAGAACGCAGCGAAAUGCGAUACGUAAUGUGAAUUGCAAAUUCAGUGAAUCAUCGAGUCUUUGAACGCACAUUGCGCCCCCUGGUAUUCCGGGGGGCAUGCCUGUCCGAGCGUCAUUGCUGCCCUCAAGCACGGCUUGUGUGUUGGGCCCCGUCCUCCGAUCCCGGGGGACGGGCCCGAAAGGCAGCGGCGGCACCGCGUCCGGUCCUCGAGCGUAUGGGGCUUUGUCACCCGCUCUGUAGGCCCGGCCGGCGCUUGCCGAUCAACCCAAAUUUUUAUCCAGGUUGACCUCGGAUCAGGUAGGGAUACCCGCUGAACUUAAGCAUAUCAAUAAGCGGAGGAA